Molecule: ribosomal RNA, 371 nt
Filed under: uncultured bacterium
Lineage: Bacteria
Description: bacterial SSU rRNA
Rfam family: Bacterial small subunit ribosomal RNA
Source: RNAcentral
GAUACAGGCUAGCGGCGGACGGGUGAGUAACACGUGGGUAACCUGCCCAAGAGAUCGGGAUAACACCUGGAAACAGAUGCUAAUACCGGAUAACAACAGAUGAUGCCUAUCAACUGUUUAAAAGAUGGUUCUGCUAUCACUCUUGGAUGGACCUGCGGUGCAUUAGCUAGUUGGUAGGGUAACGGCCUACCAAGGCGAUGAUGCAUAGCCGAGUUGAGAGACUGAUCGGCCACAUUGGGACUGAGACACGGCCCAAACUCCUACGGGAGGCAGCAGUAGGGAAUCUUCCACAAUGGACGCAAGUCUGAUGGAGCAACGCCGCGUGAGUGAAGAAGGGUUUCGGCUCGUAAAGCUCUGUUGUUGGUGAAGAA